RNAcentral lists this ribosomal RNA (239 nucleotides) under uncultured Verrucomicrobiota bacterium. RNAcentral's name for it is "uncultured Verrucomicrobia bacterium partial 16S ribosomal RNA". It matches the Rfam family "Bacterial small subunit ribosomal RNA", at positions 112 to 348 of the family's 1533-position model. The record is from RNAcentral. Lineage: Bacteria; Pseudomonadati; Verrucomicrobiota.
AACACGUGUAGCAAUCUGCCGGGAAGUGGGGGAUAACUCGCCGAAAGGCGAAUUAACUACCGCAUAUGGCCAGGGAAGACAUCUUCCCGAAGCCAAAGUCGCAAGACGCUUCCUGAUGAGCUCGCGGCCUAUCAGCUAGUUGGUGAGGUAACGGCUCACCAAGGCUAUGACGGGUAGCUGGUCUGAGAGGACGACCAGCCACACUGGAACUGAGACACGGUCCAGACACCUACGGGUGG